This 291-nucleotide unclassified non-coding RNA is filed under the name uncultured fungus. RNAcentral describes it as "partial contains 5.8S ribosomal RNA, internal transcribed spacer 2, and large subunit ribosomal RNA". The stretch from base 1 to 52 matches the Rfam family "5.8S ribosomal RNA", at positions 103 to 154 of the family's 154-position model. Lineage: Eukaryota; Fungi. The record is from RNAcentral.
AACGCACCUUGCGCUCCUUGGUAUUCCGAGGAGCAUGCCUGUUUGAGUGUCAUGAAAUCUUCAACUUAUAAACCUUUGUGGCUUUAUAAGCUUGGACUUGGAGGCUUGUCGGCCUAGCGGUCGGCUCCUCUUAAAUGCAUUAGCUUGAUUCCUUGCGGAUCGGCUCUCGGUGUGAUAAUUGUCUACGUCGUGAGCGUGAAGCGUAUAUGGACGAGCUUCUAAUGGUCUCUUAAAGGAGACAAUACAUUGACAUCUGACCUCAAAUCAGGUAGGACUACCCGCUGAACUUAA